Molecule: ribosomal RNA, 491 nt
Filed under: uncultured bacterium
Lineage: Bacteria
Description: partial 16S ribosomal RNA
Rfam family: Bacterial small subunit ribosomal RNA
Source: RNAcentral
GUGAACGCUGGCGGUAGGCCUAACACAUGCAAGUCGAACGGCAGCACCGUAAGAGCUUGCUCUUACGGGUGGCGAGUGGCGGACGGGUGAGGAAUACAUCGGAAUCUACUUUUUCGUGGGGGAUAACGUAGGGAAACUUACGCUAAUACCGCAUACGACCUACGGGUGGAAGCAGGGGAUCUUCGGACCUUGCGCGAUUGAAUGAGCCGAUGUCGGAUUAGCUAGUUGGCGGGGUAAAGGCCCACCAAGGCGACGAUCCGUAGCUGGUCUGAGAGGAUGAUCAGCCACACUGGAACUGAGACACGGUCCAGACUCCUACGGGAGGCAGCAGUGGGGAAUAUUGGACAAUGGGCGCAAGCCUGAUCCAGCCAUACCGCGUGGGUGAAGAAGGCCUUCGGGUUGUAAAGCCCUUUUGUUGGGAAAGAAAAGCAGCAGGUUAAUACCCCGCUGUUCUGACGGUACCCAAAGAAUAAGCACCGGCUAACUUCGUG